This 429-nucleotide ribosomal RNA is filed under the name uncultured bacterium. RNAcentral's name for it is "bacterial SSU rRNA". It matches the Rfam family "Bacterial small subunit ribosomal RNA", at positions 954 to 1392 of the family's 1533-position model. The record is from RNAcentral.
GCAUAACGCGAAGAACCUUACCAAGACUUGACAUCCCCUUGCAAAGCAGUAGAAAUACAUGCAGAGGUUAUCAAGGAGACAGGUGGUGCAUGGUCGUCGUCAGUUCGUGUCGUGAGAUGUAGGGUUAAGUCCCAUAACGAGCGCAACCCUCGUCCUUAUAUAUCUAUAUGAUUUAAGGAGACCGCUUCUGAUAAAGAAGAGGAAGGUGAGGAUGACGUCAGAUCAUUAUGCCCCUUAUGUCUUGGGCUACACACGUACUACAAUGGUUGGUACAAUAGGAGACAAAACUGACAAAGUUGAGCAUAAUCCAUUAAAGCCAAUCUCAGUUCGGAUAGAAGUCUGCAAUUCGACUUCUUGAAGUUGGAAUCGCUAGUAAACAGCAAAUCAGCCUUAUUGCGUUGAAUACGUUCUCGGGUCUUGUACACACCG